RNAcentral lists this ribosomal RNA (677 nucleotides) under bacterium G100VIII. RNAcentral's name for it is "bacterial SSU rRNA". It matches the Rfam family "Bacterial small subunit ribosomal RNA", at positions 173 to 872 of the family's 1533-position model. The record is from RNAcentral.
AUAAGACUACAGAGUCACAUGACUCAGUAGUAAAAACUCCGGUAGCAUAGGAUGGACCCGCGUCUGAUUAGCUAGUAGGUAAGGUAACGGCUUACCUAGGCAACGAUCAGUAGCCGACCUGAGAGGGUGAUCGGCCACAUUGGGACUGAGACACGGCCCAAACUCUACGGGAGGCAGCAGUGGGGAAUAUUGCACAAUGGGGGAAACCCUGAUGCAGCGACGCCGCGUGAAGGAAGAAGGUUUUCGGAUCGUAAACUUCUAUCAGCAGGGAAGAUAGUGACAGUACCUGACUAAGAAGCCCCGGCUAACUACGUGCCAGCAGCCGCGGUAAUACGUAGGGGGCAAGCGUUAUCCGGAUUUACUGGGUGUAAAGGGUGCGUAGGCGGCGAAGUAAGUCAGAUGUGAAAGCCCGAGGCUCAACCUCGGGACUGCAUUUGAAACUGCUUUGCUAGAGUGCAGGAGAGGAAAGUGGAAUUCCUAGUGUAGCGGUGAAAUGCGUAGAUAUUAGGAGGAACACCAGUGGCGAAGGCGACUUUCUGGACUGUAACUGACGCUGAGGCACGAAAGCGUGGGGAGCGAACAGGAUUAGAUACCUUGGUAGUCCACGCCGUAAACGAUGAAUGCUAGGUGUCGGGGGUCGAACCUCGGUGCCGCACGUAACGCAUUAAGCAUUCCAC